AUUGAACGCUGGCGGCAUGCCUUACACAUGCAAGUCGAACGGUAACAGGUUAAGCUGACGAGUGGCGAACGGGUGAGUAAUAUAUCGGAACGUGCCCAGUCGUGGGGGAUAACGCAGCGAAAGCUGUGCCAAUACCGCAUACGAUCUACGGAUGAAAGCGGGGGAUCGCAAGAGCCAGCGCGUUCGGAGCGGCCGAUAUCAGAUUAGCUAGUUGGUGGGGUAAAAGCCCACCAAGGCGACGAUCUGUAGCUGGUCUGAGAGGACGACCAGCCACACUGGAACUGAGACACGGUCCAGACUCCUACGGGAGGCAGCAGUGGGGAAUUUUGGACAAUGGGCGAAAGCCUGAUCCAGCAAUGCCGCGUGCAGGACGAAGGCCUUCGGGUUGUAAACUGCUUUUGUACGGAGCGAAACGGUCCCUUCUAAUAAAGGGGGCUAAUGACGGUACCGUAAGAAUAAGCACCGGCUAACUACGUGCCAGCCGCCGCGGUAA
RNAcentral lists this ribosomal RNA (493 nucleotides) under uncultured bacterium. RNAcentral's name for it is "partial 16S ribosomal RNA". It matches the Rfam family "Bacterial small subunit ribosomal RNA", at positions 30 to 523 of the family's 1533-position model. The record is from RNAcentral.